UUGGAUCAGCUGCUGCAGUUUUCCUCGCUGUGACUCUCCUCUCCGUGUUCCUACUGAUCAGAAAAAAGAGAAACUCUCAUCAAUCUGCUGAACCUGGGGACAGACUUGACCACAGUGAGCAGCAUCUACACAAUCAGUCGGAGGAAAACUGUGACCUUAACUAUGACAGUGUCCACUUCAUGAAGAGAGAGACGGAUCCAAUCUACUCCAACGUCAGAUCAGCUGAACCCAGCGAACACAAGGAGACGGAGGAGGUUGCGUACGCUUCUGUCAACUUUAACAGAUCUGCCCCGAGAACCAGAGGUCAGGACACUGGAGAGGAUCCAGCUGCAUUGUACAGCACAGUCAAAACACCUCCUGCUGUUUAGACCAACGUCUGGAAAUCACCUGAGUCCCGAUGGAAAUAUCUCAACAGCUGCUGAAUAGAUUUGAAUAGAUGUUCAUACAACUGUUCAUGGUCCCCACAGGAUUAAUCCUUCUUUGGUGACAGACUCCAGCAUCAUUGUUGAAGUGAAUGUUCAGUUUUAAGUGACUUGUCUUGACAGCUCAUGGAUAA
Molecule: long non-coding RNA, 556 nt
Organism: Limanda limanda (common dab)
Lineage: Eukaryota; Metazoa; Chordata; Actinopteri; Pleuronectiformes; Pleuronectidae
Exons: 4
Source: RefSeq, a predicted model, not a curated record